Molecule: ribosomal RNA, 593 nt
Filed under: uncultured Bacteroidota bacterium
Lineage: Bacteria; Pseudomonadati; Bacteroidota
Description: bacterial SSU rRNA
Rfam family: Bacterial small subunit ribosomal RNA
Source: RNAcentral
UCGAGGGGCAGCACGAUGUAGCAAUACAUUGGUGGCGACCGGCGCACGGGUGCGUAACACGUAUGGAAUCUGCCUUGUACUGGGAGAUAGCCCGGAGAAAUCCGGAUUAAUAUCCCAUAAUAAGUUGAGUGGCAUCACUUGGCUUUGAAAGCUCCGGCGGUACAAGAUGACCAUGCGCACGAUUAGCUAGUUGGUGAGGUAACGGCUCACCAAGGCUACGAUCGUUAGGGGGCCUGAGAGGGUUAUCCCCCACACUGGUACUGAGACACGGACCAGACUCCUACGGGAGGCAGCAGUGAGGAAUAUUGCGCAAUGGAGGCAACUCUGACGCAGCCAUGCCGCGUGCAGGAAGAAGGCGCUACGCGUUGUAAACUGCUUUUAACCGGGAAGAAACCCCAGGACGUGUCCUGGGUUGACGGUACCGGAGGAAUAAGCACCGGCUAACUUCGUGCCAGCAGCCGCGGUAAUACGAAGGGUGCAAGCGUUAUCCGGAUUCAUUGGGUUUAAAGGGUGCGUAGGUGGGGCGAUAAGUCAGUGGUGAAAUCUUGCGGCUUAACCGUAAAAUUGCCAUUGAUACUGUCGCUCUUGAGUAC